CCACCUCUUCCCAUUCCGAACAGAGAAGUUAAGCUUCGUCACGCCGAUGGUACUGCUAAUUGUGGGAGAGUAGGUAGUCGCCGUUU
RNAcentral lists this ribosomal RNA (86 nucleotides) under Candidatus Phocaeicola faecigallinarum. Lineage: Bacteria; Pseudomonadati; Bacteroidota; Bacteroidia; Bacteroidales; Bacteroidaceae. The record is from RNAcentral.